This 117-nucleotide small nucleolar RNA is filed under the name Brassica carinata (Ethiopian mustard). RNAcentral's name for it is "Small nucleolar RNA snoR100". It matches the Rfam family "Small nucleolar RNA snoR100". RNAcentral also lists the same sequence under 1 other name. The record is from Rfam by way of RNAcentral. Lineage: Eukaryota; Viridiplantae; Streptophyta; Magnoliopsida; Brassicales; Brassicaceae.
UAAUGAAUGUAGCAUGGUACUGUACACGGAAACUGAAUCAUGGGUUUGAAAUGUCUGUGCCCUCUUUGAGAACCUAACUGGUUCUUUGAUUUGCGGGCCUGGUUUAAACCCACAUUU